RNAcentral lists this transfer RNA (63 nucleotides) under Terebratulina retusa. RNAcentral's name for it is "transfer RNA-Asp". Lineage: Eukaryota; Metazoa; Brachiopoda; Rhynchonellata; Terebratulida; Cancellothyrididae. The record is from RNAcentral.
GAGUGUUUAGUUUAAACAUAAAACAUAGGCUUGUCAAGCCUAAAAAACUAAAAGUAACCCUCU